Molecule: ribosomal RNA, 364 nt
Filed under: uncultured bacterium
Lineage: Bacteria
Description: partial 16S ribosomal RNA
Rfam family: Bacterial small subunit ribosomal RNA
Source: RNAcentral
CCUACGGGCGGCAGCAGUGAGGAAUAUUGGUCAAUGGCCGGAAGGCUGAACCAGCCAUGCCGCGUGAAGGUCAGUGCCCUAUGGGCGUUAAACUUCUUUUGUGCGGGAGCUAUAAUGGUCACGUGUGGCCAGACGAGAGUACCGUACGAAUAAGCAUCGGCUAACUCCUGGCCAGCAGCCGCGUUAAUACGGGGGAUGCUAGCGUUAUCCGGAUUUAUUGGGUCUAAAGGGUGCGUAGGCUGUGAGGUAAGUCAGCGAUGAAAUGCCCCCGCUCAACGGUGUGAAGUGCCAUGGAUACUGUCUUGCUGGAAUGCGGAUGCCGUGGGAGGAAUGUGUAGUGUAGCGGUGAAAUGCAUAGAUAGCA